CCAGCCACACUGGAACUGAGACACGGUCCAGACUCCUACGGGAGGCAGCAGUGGGGAAUAUUGCACAAUGGGCGCAAGCCUGAUGCAGCCAUGCCGCGUGUAUGAAGAAGGCCUUCGGGUUGUAAAGUACUUUCAGCGGGGAGGAAGGGAGUAAAGUUAAUACCUUUGCUCAUUGACGUUACCCGCAGAAGAAGCGCCGACUAACUCCGUGGCAGCAACCGCGGUAAUACGGAGGGUGCAAGCGUUAAUCGGAAUUCCUGGGCGUAAAGCGCACGCAGGCGGUUUGUUAAGUCAGAUGUGAAAUCACCGGGCUCAACCUGGGAACUGCAUCUGAUACUGGCAAGCUUGAGUCUCGUAGAGGGGGGUAGAAUUCCAGGUGUAGCGGUGAAAUGCGUAGAGAUCUGGAGGAAUCCCGGUGGCGAAGGCGGCCCCCUGGACGAAGACUGACGCUCAGGUGCGAAAGCGUGGGGAGCAAACAGGAUUAGAUAUCCUGGUAGUCCGCGCCGUAAACGAUGUCGACUUGGAGGUU
This 529-nucleotide ribosomal RNA is filed under the name Escherichia coli. RNAcentral describes it as "bacterial SSU rRNA". It matches the Rfam family "Bacterial small subunit ribosomal RNA", at positions 304 to 825 of the family's 1533-position model. Lineage: Bacteria; Pseudomonadati; Pseudomonadota; Gammaproteobacteria; Enterobacterales; Enterobacteriaceae. The record is from RNAcentral.